RNA transcript from Physeter macrocephalus (sperm whale), 2360 nucleotides. It is a transcript of the gene named Nedd4 family interacting protein 2, with no coding region annotated. The record is from RefSeq and is a predicted model, not a curated record. The transcript has 9 exons. NCBI's taxonomy places the organism in Eukaryota, Metazoa, Chordata, Mammalia, Artiodactyla, Physeteridae.
CACCUCCGCCCACACAGCUAAACACCCCCUCCACGAACUCACGACGCGGAUGGGACGGCGGAGGACCCAGCGAGCAUGCGCGACCAUCCCGAGCAUGCUCAGUAGCGCGCGCGGCGCCCCGAAGCUCCGGCCCAGAGCUGUGGCCGACGCGGAGGUUUCGGCGGCUUCUGCGGCAGUGACGGGAAGUGAGGUGGUCCGGCUGGGCAACCGCGGCGGCAGAAACAGAGGCGGAAGGGUCGCUGCGGCGACGACGUCGUCGACCCGGGUGACCGAGGGGGCUGAGCGCCGAGGGCACUCGCCCGCUCGGAAGCCGGAUCCCGAGCCGGGCAGGAUGGAUCAUCACCAGCCGGGGACUGGCCGCUACCAGGUGCUUCACAAUGAAGAGGAUAAUUCAGAAUCAUCUGCUGUAGAGCAGCCGUCAACUUCAAACCCAACACCACAAAAUGUGCAGGCUGCUCCUUCAGCAUCUGGACUUGAGACUGACUCUUCUCCUCCACCUUAUAGCAGUAUUACUGUGGAAGUACCUACAACUUCAGAUACAGAAGUUUACAGUGAGUUUUAUCCUGUGCCACCUCCUUACAGUGUUGCUACCUCUCUUCCUACGUAUGAUGAAGCUGAGAAGGCCAAAGCUGCUGCAAUGGCAGCUGCAGCAGCAGAAACAUCUCAAAGAAUUCAAGAGGAAGAGUGUCCAACAAGAGAUGACUUCAGUGAUGCAGACCAGCUCAGAGUGGGUAAUGAUGGGAUUUUCAUGCUGGCGUUUUUCAUGGCAUUUAUUUUCAACUGGCUUGGAUUUUGUUUAUCUUUCUGUAUCACCAAUACCAUAGCUGGAAGGUAUGGUGCCAUCUGUGGAUUUGGCCUUUCACUGAUCAAAUGGAUCCUUAUCGUCAGAUUUUCUGAUUAUUUUACUGGAUAUUUCAAUGGACAGUAUUGGCUUUGGUGGAUAUUUCUUGUACUUGGCCUGCUUCUUUUCUUCAGAGGAUUUGUUAAUUAUUUAAAAGUCAGAAACAUGUCUGAAAGCAUGGCAGCUGCUCAUAGAACAAGGUAUUUCUUCUUAUUAUAGAGCUUUACCAGAAGCAUAGUGAGAUCAGCAAGUACAACAAAAGUUUGCCCAAAGCUCAGAAGAAAUCUGGAGGACUCAGAAUGUGAAAAGUAACAAAUAACCUUGUUGGAAAAAUGAACUCUUCAGAGGAGAACUGCUCAGGCCAUCAGAAGCCACCAACGUGAAAAAGAAGUUACAAGUCUUGCACGCCCACAGGGUUACUGACCAUCCCAGCUCCUUGCACCUGGUUUAUUGAUUGUCAAUCAAGUCAUUGCAACAGCAGUGUGAAAGCAGUGGGUUUACAUCUGCUUUACCCUGCCCCUUCAUUCUCUUCAUCUUCCAGUUGGGAGCCCCACAGAGUGACGAACGUCUCAACAAUUGCUUCUAGAGCUGGGCUUAGUGGAAAUGUCAACAGCAACAAUUUAACCACUGUCUCAAAGAUCAUUCAAUGCUACCCACACUGUCCAUCAACAAAACCUUGCCAGGGGAAGCAGGUGCCAUUUUCAAAUCUCUGCUUGGUAAAACAACAAAUGGAAAUGGCCAGCUGAAAUAGGCACUCCCCUUUACAGUGAUCCAGCUCCCAAAUGCGUGAUCUUGGUUUUUAUUUUUAGAAAUGAAAGUAAGUCUGAUUCUUCUUUUGAGUCAGGAGGGUUCUAGGUAAAGACACUGCUGCUCAUGCCGGCCUAAAGAAAACCCACAGUCUCCACUCUCACCUGCCCUGGUUCUGCCCUCCGGUCUAGUGCGAGGUGAAGGACCCUGAGCUUCACGGGUUGUCCACACCAGGAAAGCCUUGCACAGAUGCCUCCCCAUAGUGGGUUUGCAGUGAUUACUGCGGAUUUGAGUGCUGCCUCAUGCUCCCCCUUAAUAUUAAUCAGAAAUACAUUUUUCCCCACCCCAAAUUCUCUUCCCCAGACAAAAAUAAUUUUUACCAGAGAAAAGUUAAAGCAGUAAGAUAUAAAGAAGCCCUACAGAGAUAAAUACCUCUUGCCUGCCCAGGGUCCAGAUUCUGAAACUGACCACACUCUCAACUCUGGGUAGGAAAACCCUGGGACUGUUCACACCUCCUUGUUAACAGUGAUGACCUCUUCCCUUCCUUUCUCUCCCCCUGUCUCUUCUUUGUUCUUAACCUCCCUGACUUCCUGCCCUUUCUUCCUUGCCCCCUCCUCUCUCUCUUACCAUUUCUUGGCUAACACAAACCUAGUUUAUCAUUGUCUGAAUAUAAAAUAUUCUGCAAGAGAAAUUACUUGUAAUGUGAGCUUCAUCCUGUGUAUUAACUUCAGCCAUUCAUCUACAGUUGGAAAAUCUCUGGGUCCUCAAAUUC